This 393-nucleotide unclassified non-coding RNA is filed under the name uncultured fungus. RNAcentral's name for it is "sequence contains ITS1". The stretch from base 1 to 105 matches the Rfam family "5.8S ribosomal RNA", at positions 50 to 154 of the family's 154-position model. Lineage: Eukaryota; Fungi. The record is from RNAcentral.
GAAUUGCGAUAAGUAAUGUGAAUUGCAGAAUUCAGUGAAUCAUCAAAUCUUUGAACGCACAUUGCGCUCUCUGGUAUUCCGGAGAGCAUGCCUGUUUGAGAAUCGAUAAACCCCUCACAAGUCAUGUUCUUGGUAAAACAAGUUCGUGAUCUCUGUGGAUAUGGAUCUUUUGCAACCUUUGGGUCCGCAAUGAUCUUAAAUUUAAUGUCUGCAGCUCUUGUUGUUACAACGAGCCCAAAGUGCAUGAAUGAAGCUUGCUUUAUCCUCACGUUGGUGUUUGUUGUCAAAAUGAUAAUGAGUUUGUUUGACUCAACCAUUACAUUGGAGGAUCACCAUUUGGUGCUCUUUCAAAAACUUGGUCUCAAAUCAGGUAGGAAAACCCGCUGAACUUAA